RNAcentral lists this ribosomal RNA (1485 nucleotides) under uncultured bacterium. Its description in RNAcentral is "bacterial SSU rRNA". It matches the Rfam family "Bacterial small subunit ribosomal RNA". The record is from RNAcentral.
UGGUUUGAUUAUGGCUCAGGAUGAACGCUAGCGACAGGCUUAACACAUGCAAGUCGAGGGGCAGCACAGGUAGCAAUACCGGGUGGCGACCGGCGCACGGGUGAGUAACGCGUAUGCAACUUGCCUAUCAGAGGGGGAUAACCCGGCGAAAGUCGGACUAAUACCGCAUGAAGCAGGGGCCCCGCAUGGGGAUAUUUGCUAAAGAUUCAUCGCUGAUAGAUAGGCAUGCGUUCCAUUAGGCAGUUGGCGGGGUAACGGCCCACCAAACCGACGAUGGAUAGGGGUUCUGAGAGGAAGGUCCCCCACAUUGGUACUGAGACACGGACCAAACUCCUACGGGAGGCAGCAGUGAGGAAUAUUGGUCAAUGGGCGUAAGCCUGAACCAGCCAAGUCGCGUGAGGGAUGAAGGUUCUAUGGAUCGUAAACCUCUUUUAUAAGGGAAUAAAGUGCGGGACGUGUCCCGUUUUGUAUGUACCUUAUGAAUAAGGAUCGGCUAACUCCGUGCCAGCAGCCGCGGUAAUACGGAGGAUCCGAGCGUUAUCCGGAUUUAUUGGGUUUAAAGGGUGCGUAGGCGGCCUUUUAAGUCAGCGGUGAAAGUCUGUGGCUCAACCAUAGAAUUGCCGUUGAAGCUGGGGGGCUUGAGUAUGUUUGAGGCAGGCGGAAUGCGUGGUGUAGCGGUGAAAUGCUUAGAUAUCACGCAGAACCCCGAUUGCGAAGGCAGCCUGCCAAGCCAUGACUGACGCUGAUGCACGAAAGCGUGGGGAUCAAACAGGAUUAGAUACCCUGGUAGUCCACGCAGUAAACGAUGAUCACUAGCUGUUUGCGAUACAGUGUAAGCGGCACAGCGAAAGCGUUAAGUGAUCCACCUGGGGAGUACGCCGGCAACGGUGAAACUCAAAGGAAUUGACGGGGGCCCGCACAAGCGGAGGAACAUGUGGUUUAAUUCGAUGAUACGCGAGGAACCUUACCCGGGUUUGAACGCAUUCGGACCGAGGUGGAAACACCUUUUCUAGCAAUAGCCGUUUGCGAGGUGCUGCAUGGUUGUCGUCAGCUCGUGCCGUGAGGUGUCGGCUUAAGUGCCAUAACGAGCGCAACCCUUGCCACUAGUUACUAACAGGUAAAGCUGAGGACUCUGGUGGGACUGCCAGCGUAAGCUGCGAGGAAGGCGGGGAUGACGUCAAAUCAGCACGGCCCUUACAUCCGGGGCGACACACGUGUUACAAUGGCGUGGACAAAGGGAUGCCACCUGGCGACAGGGAGCGAAUCCCCAAACCACGUCUCAGUUCGGAUCGGAGUCUGCAACCCGACUCCGUGAAGCUGGAUUCGCUAGUAAUCGCGCAUCAGCCAUGGCGCGGUGAAUACGUUCCCGGGCCUUGUACACACCGCCCGUCAAGCCAUGGGAGCCGGGGGUACCUGAAGUCCGUAACCGCGAGGAUCGGCCUAGGGUAAAACUGGUGACUGGGGCUAAGUCGUAACAAGGUACCC